Molecule: ribosomal RNA, 1234 nt
Filed under: metagenome
Description: bacterial LSU rRNA
Rfam family: Bacterial large subunit ribosomal RNA
Source: RNAcentral
UGAAUACGAGAUGCUACGGCGUCGAAGCAGUCUAUGUCAUACUUCCAAGAAAUGCUCGCACUGUCAUAAACAAAUAAUGCCUGUACCAUAACCGACACAGGUGGGUAGGUAGAGUAUACUAAGGGGCGCGAGAUAACUCUCUCUAAGGAACUCGGCAAAAUGACUCCGUAACUUCGGGAGAAGGAGUGCCUUAUUUAUAAGGUUGCAAUAACAAGAUCCAAGCAACUGUUUAUCAAAAACACAGGUCUCCGCUAAGUCGUAAGACGAUGUAUGGGGGCUGACGCCUGCCCAGUGCCAGAAGGUUAAAGAAGUUGGUUAGCAUUCGCGGAGCUGAUAACUGAAGCCCUGGUGAACGGCGGCCGUAACCAUAACGGUCCUAAGGUAGCGAAAUUCCUUGUCGGGUAAGUUCCGACCCGCACGAAAGGCGUAAUGAUUUGGAUACUGUCUCGGAGAGGGGCUCGGUGAAAUAGACUUGUCUGUGAAGAUGCGGACUACCUGCACCAGGACAGAAAGACCCUAUGAAGCUUUACUGUAACUUGAGAUUGAAAUUGGACUUUACUUGCGCAGUAUAGGUGGGAGGCGUUGAUAAUAUUCUUGCGGGAUUAUUUGAGCCAUCAGUGAGAUACCACUCUUGUAAUGUUAGAUUUCUAACUUUGUAUCAUUAUCUGGUCAAAGGACAGUUUCAGGCGGGCAGUUUGACUGGGGCGGUCGCCUCCUAAACGGUAACGGAGGCGCACAAAGGUUUCCUCUGAACGGGUAGAAAUCGUAUCUAGAGUGUAAAGGCAUAAGGAAGCUUGACUGUGAGACCUACAAGUCGAGCAGGGACGAAAGUCGGUCUUAGUGAUCUGACGGUGCUGAGUGGAAAGGCCGUCACUCAACGGAUAAAAGUUACUCUAAGGAUAACAGGCUGAUCUCCCCCAAGAGUUCACAUCGACGGGGAGGUUUGGCACCUCGAUGUCGGCUCAUCGCAUCCUGGGGCGGUAGUACGUCCCAAGGGUUGGGCUGUUCGCCCAUGAAAGCGGUACGCGAGCUGGGUUCAGAACGUCGUGAGACAGUUCGGUCCAUAUCCGGUGUAGGCGUUAGAAUAUUGAGAGGAGCCUUCUUUAGUACGAGAGACCGAGAAGGACAUACCUCUGGUGUACCAGUUAUCGUGCCAACGGUAAACGCUGGGUAGCUAUGUAUGGAGUGGAUAACCGCUGAAAGCAUCUAAGUGGGAAGCCCACCUCAAGAUAAG